RNAcentral lists this ribosomal RNA (504 nucleotides) under uncultured bacterium. RNAcentral's name for it is "partial 16S ribosomal RNA". It matches the Rfam family "Bacterial small subunit ribosomal RNA", at positions 28 to 523 of the family's 1533-position model. The record is from RNAcentral.
GAUGAACGCUAGCGGCAGGCCUAAUACAUGCAAGUCGAACGGGAUCUGAGGGUAGCUUGCUACCCGAUUUGAGAGUGGCGCACGGGUGCGUAACGCGUGAGCAACCUACCCAUAUCAGGGGGAUAGCCCGAAGAAAUUCGGAUUAACACCGCAUAAUAAUACGCUAACACAAGUUGAUGUAUUUAAAUAUUUAUAGGAUAUUGAUGGGAUCGCGUGACAUUAGCUAGUUGGUAAGGUAACGGCUUACCAAGGCGACGAUGUCUAGGGGCUCUGAGAGGAGAAUCCCCCACACUGGUACUGAGACACGGACCAGACUCCUACGGGAGGCAGCAGUAAGGAAUAUUGGUCAAUGGGCGCAAGCCUGAACCAGCCAUGCCGCGUGCAGGAUGACUGCCCUAUGGGUUGUAAACUGCUUUUGUUAGGGAAUAAACCUUCUUACGUGUAAGGAGCUGAAUGUACCUAAAGAAUAAGGAUCGGCUAACUCCGUGCCAGCCGCCGCGGUAA